RNAcentral lists this long non-coding RNA (1384 nucleotides) under Vulpes vulpes (red fox). Its description in RNAcentral is "lncRNA (ENSVVUG00000019869.1)". Lineage: Eukaryota; Metazoa; Chordata; Mammalia; Carnivora; Canidae. The record is from RNAcentral.
GCUCCCAUCCCCGCCACUCUGCCGGCCUCCUGCUUAUCUACAUGCCUGCCUAUUCCUUUUUCUGGGCCUGUUUUUCUCUUUCCUUAACAGGCCAGGGACUUGGAGCUGCCCCAGGGCCUGGCUGCAAUGCCGAAGGCAACCACACGAGGGCGCCAGAACCACACUGGUGAGCCUGCUUCCCGCUCAGACCAAGGUCCCUUCAAAAUCGUCCCCCAGAGCCAGAGAGAGGACACCAACCACUGCAGGCCUGGGAUGCUCCCACUCAAGGAGGAAGCCAGGGAGACAAAAUUGGAUUCUAAACUCUGUCCGAGAAGAAUCCCCACCCCUAUCCCAGUCUUCCCAGAGCUACACUGGCCAAGGAUGAAGCCCUCGGAGACCCAGUAGCCGGGUCAUUUCCUGCUGCUGCAGGUUGUACCACGCCAGGUCCGGUUUACUCUCCCUGGGAUGAGUAAAUGCUCCCAGCACCUGUUACUCUGCCUGGAACACCCAGCCCUCAGCCUUCAAAGCCCUUUUCCUGAACGUCGCAGGCAGAUUCAAUUCCCCCACCUGGUUCCUCUCAGCUCCGGGCCCCACCCAAUAACACCCUGCACUGGAAACUUCCUGAGGGUUCCCUCCUGUGUAUCCACCAGGUCCGAGGACCAGUAGGCACACAGCAAAUGUUUGCUGAACAAAUUAAUUUGUUUUCAUCUAACGAGCUCAUUAGGGCUCUAUCUUCCUCUUAAUUAGGAAGCAGGAGGUUCUGCUUUUCCUGUAACAAUUCACCUUUGGGGGAUGAUAGCAGACCUUAGCCUCUGCAGGCAGAAGGCAAUCAAACUAGAUUUCUGGGGCACACAGUUGCAUUAUAAAGAAAUAACACACGUGUGCUCAGUGAGGUCCAUUUAAACAAGACGACUGUAUGUUAAAAGCUUCGCAUUGAAUAUACAUUAUUAUACAGCUUAUCACACAGAACUCGAGCUUUACAGGACACUUUUUUAGCAGUAGGUGGCUAGCACAGGCUCUUGGCAGCGACACACAGCCCUGAAGACAGGGGAAGGAUAGGCUGCAGGCUGCCACCCGUGCUCGGGGGGCACCUGAGUGGGUCUCCGUGGGGUUCUGGGAGGUGCUCCUACAGUGAAGGCUCUGGCUGUGCUGGCUCCUGCUGGAUAACUUGGUCCAUUUGGUCUUUGCCGGUAACUGAGUCUGGAAGGGCAGAGAGACAGACGUGGCAGCUUGCUGGACGGCCGCCUGAUCCAGCCAGGAUGCUUCAUGGGCAUCGACGGGCCAACUCCGAGUGCCAGCCUUCUCCGUCUGCCGGGUUUCUGCACGCACCGUCCCUGGGGCCUGUGAGAGCAAAUGGUAAGCCUGGCCGUCUGUCCCUGCUAGGCCCUUGGACAAGUGACAUCAA